RNAcentral lists this ribosomal RNA (487 nucleotides) under uncultured Sphingobacteriales bacterium. RNAcentral describes it as "bacterial SSU rRNA". It matches the Rfam family "Bacterial small subunit ribosomal RNA", at positions 894 to 1382 of the family's 1533-position model. Lineage: Bacteria; Pseudomonadati; Bacteroidota; Sphingobacteriia; Sphingobacteriales. The record is from RNAcentral.
CAGAAACUCAAAGGAAUUGACGGGGGCCCGCAUAAGCGGAGGAGCAUGUGGUUUAAUCCGAUGAUACGCGAGGAACCUUACCUGGGCUCGAACGUAAGAUGACUGUAGGUGAAAGCUUACAUCUCUUCGGAGCAUUUUACGAGGUGCUGCAUGGUUGUCGUCAGCUCGUGCCGUGAGGUGUCGGGUUAAGUCCCAUAACGAGCGCAACCCUACCUUUAGUUGCCAUCAGGUAAUGCUGGGGACUCUAAAGGAACUGCCUACGCAAGUAGUGAGGAAGGCGGGGAUGACGUCAAAUCAGCACGGCCCUUACGUCCAGGGCUACACACGUGCUACAAUGGCCGAUACAGAGGGCAGCUACCUGGUGACAGGAUGCAAAUCUCCAAAGUCGGUCUCAGUUCGGAUCGGAGUCUGCAACCCGACUCCGUGAAGUUGGAUUCGCUAGUAAUCGCGCAUCAGCCAUGGCGCGGUGAAUACGUUCCCGGGCCUU